CAGAUUGAACGCUGGCGGCAGGCCUAACACAUGCAAGUCGAGCGGAAACGAGUUAUCUGAACCUUCGGGGAACGAUAACGGCGUCGAGCGGCGGACGGGUGAGUAAUGCCUGGGAAAUUGCCCUGAUGUGGGGGAUAACCAUUGGAAACGAUGGCUAAUACCGCAUAAUAGCUUCGGCUCAAAGAGGGGGACCUUCGGGCCUCUCGCGUCAGGAUAUGCCCAGGUGGGAUUAGCUAGUUGGUGAGGUAAUGGCUCACCAAGGCGACGAUCCCUAGCUGGUCUGAGAGGAUGAUCAGCCACACUGGAACUGAGACACGGUCCAGACUCCUACGGGAGGCAGCAGUGGGGAAUAUUGCACAAUGGGCGCAAGCCUGAUGCAGCCAUGCCGCGUGUAUGAAGAAGGCCUUCGGGUUGUAAAGUACUUUCAGCAGUGAGGAAGGUGGAUGUGUUAAUAGCGCAUUCAUUUGACGUUAGCUGCAGAAGAAGCACCGGCUAACUCCGUGCCAGCAGCCGCGGUAAUACGGAGGGUGCGAGCGUUAAUCGGAAUUACUGGGCGUAAAGCGCAUGCAGGUGGUUUGUUAAGUCAGAUGUGAAAGCCCGGGGCUCAACCUCGGAAUAGCAUUUGAAACUGGCAGACUAGAGUACUGUAGAGGGGGGUAGAAUUUCAGGUGUAGCGGUGAAAUGCGUAGAGAUCUGAAGGAAUACCGGUGGCGAAGGCGGCCCCCUGGACAGAUACUGACACUCAGAUGCGAAAGCGUGGGGAGCAAACAGGAUUAGAUACCCUGGUAGUCCACGCCGUAAACGAUGUCUACUUGGAGGUUGUGGCCUUGAGCCGUGGCUUUCGGAGCUAACGCGUUAAGUAGACCGCCUGGGGAGUACGGUCGCAAGAUUAAAACUCAAAUGAAUUGACGGGGGCCCGCACAAGCGGUGGAGCAUGUGGUUUAAUUCGAUGCAACGCGAAGAACCUUACCUACUCUUGACAUCCAUAGAAUUUUCCAGAGAUGGAUUAGUGCCUUCGGGAACUCUGAGACAGGUGCUGCAUGGCUGUCGUCAGCUCGUGUUGUGAAAUGUUGGGUUAAGUCCCGCAACGAGCGCAACCCUUAUCCUUGUUUGCCAGCGAGUAAUGUCGGGAACUCCAGGGAGACUGCCGGUGAUAAACCGGAGGAAAGUGGGGACGACGUCAAGUCAUCAUGGCCCUUACGAGUAGGGCUACACACGUGCUA
RNAcentral lists this ribosomal RNA (1223 nucleotides) under Vibrio sp. S2043. RNAcentral describes it as "bacterial SSU rRNA". It matches the Rfam family "Bacterial small subunit ribosomal RNA", at positions 25 to 1227 of the family's 1533-position model. The record is from RNAcentral. Lineage: Bacteria; Pseudomonadati; Pseudomonadota; Gammaproteobacteria; Vibrionales; Vibrionaceae.